UACGUAGGGGGCAAGCGUUGUCCGGAUUUAUUGGGCGUAAAGAGCGUGUAGGCGGCUAGGUAGGUCCGUUGUGAAAACUCGAGGCUCAACCUCGAGACGCCGGUGGAAACCAUCUAGCUAGAGUCCGGAAGAGGAGAGUGGAAUUCCUGGUGUAGCGGUGAAAUGCGCAGAUAUCAGGAAGAACACCAAUGGCGAAGGCAGCUCACUGGGACGGUACUGACGCUGAGACGCGAAAGCGUGGGGAGCAAACAGG
This 253-nucleotide ribosomal RNA is filed under the name uncultured bacterium. RNAcentral describes it as "partial 16S ribosomal RNA". It matches the Rfam family "Bacterial small subunit ribosomal RNA", at positions 524 to 776 of the family's 1533-position model. The record is from RNAcentral.